UCAAAUCAUUCACUAUAGUGUCCUUAUUUAAGUAAUACACAUCAGAAAAUUAUUAUAAUUCCAUUUCUUUAGUAUGUAUACUUUUGUUAUAACUGUAUUACAAAUAUAGGGAUUUUUCUUCCAUACAUGGAAUAAAAGGAAAUUACUCAUGUUGCUAGUGUCCUAAUACAGAUUAUUAAUUAUCAACUUUGGUUAGUGCAGAAUUUUCACCAGAGUUCUUACUAAUGCAUACAUGUACAAAACAAAGUUGAGGCAGCUUGAGCAUUAGCCCAACCCAGGAAGCAGAUGCUGGUGGAUGUCACUUCAGGUUCUUCCUUGUAGCUUGCUAACGUUGAGAGACAGGUAUGAGGUAUAGCUCCUGAAUGCUGUCAUCAUAUCCUGAGUCUGUAGGCCAUCUGUUUAGAUGAAAGUGGGAGAGAAUGUAGUAGCUUCUGACUGUGCCAUCUCUUACCCUAUGAAAGUUGAAGAACAAACUCUGGGAGGGAAGUAAGUAAGGCACUGAGGCCCUCAGGACUCCUGUAGAUUUUUAGUUCUUCUCUUGAACUCUGAAAAAUACUUUCCCUCAACUAACAGGAGAGAGCUAAGCAACACUUUCAUAAAUAAACUGUUAUGAAAUGGUACAUGAUUUAAAGUAUUUUUCCCCCUUUGUGUUGAUUUAAAAUUGAGCAACAUCUCUAGUAACCUCCUGUUAGAAAAUAUAUUAAAUUUAAGACCUCGUAGCCAAGUGCAGUGAUGUGCCCCUGUAGUCUUAGUCACCUGGGAGGCUGCAGCAGGAGGAUCACUUGAACCCAGAAGUUCGAAUCCAGCCUGGGCAGUAAGACCCUAUCUCUUUAAAAAAAACACACACAAAAAAAACUUAGUCUGAUGUUAUCUAGAGAGUAGGGAAGUAAUUUAUUGUGUUAAAUGAAGAUUCAGUUGUGAAAUUGUUACUGCUAAGCAGGUUGGGGGUGGUUGGGGAUAGAGAAUAAGAGAGUUAUGUAUGGCCAUUCUGCUUCUACCAUCACUAGAGUCACACCUAUAUUUUUCUCUGCUCUCCCUUUGAACUAUGUUUUUUCCUUCUUUCUUCCCACUCUUUCACUGUCUAGUUACUGUUUUCCUAAUUGAUAUGUGAUUAACUUUUUUUGAUUGACUACCCAAAUUUGGGAAAGAAGUUGGAAUAGUGAAAUAGGAAUUAGAAUACCCUGUCAAAUCAUGUAAUGUCACUGUGGCUCAGUUAACUUCAUCUGUUACAUGGGGGUGAUGUUAUCCAGCCUUACAGGCUUAUGCAGCUCAAAUGAGAGAAUGUAAAUAAGGUGCUGGAUAAGCCACAAAGCACUAUAGAGAUGUUGCUAAUGAGAGUCAGUGGUUCCAGGCACAUUGAAAUCUACAUUUUAUUUUGUGUGUUGUAUUUGUAACUUAAAAAAAAAAAGUAUCACCGUGCUUAAAUUAUGCUUAUGAAAACUCUCAUCUAGGACAUAAUGAAGGUACUCUGGCAAUGAAAGAAGGUGAAGUUCUCUACAUUAUAGAGGAGGACAAAGGUGAUGGAUGGACAAGAGCUCGGAGACAGAACGGUGAAGAAGGCUACGUUCCCACGUCAUACAUAGAUGUAACCCUAGAGAAAAACAGUAAAGGUUCCUGAAGAGGGUUUCUGAGGAAAUGGGCAAGAUGUUGAAGGAGGUUACAUGCAGCUGCUUUUGGGGGGAGGGUAUUAGAGUUGUCAGGCUCAAAGAGAGUGAGAGAAGCAAGUUGCAUGAGUGCAUGCAGACAUGAUUAUUUUUUACUAACUUCAUUAGCAUUUCCAUACAUUGUUUUAAAAAAUCGUAAUACCAACCCUUAAGUUUCUAGUUCAGUUACUCCCACAAAAGAAAAAGUCAACAAUGGCUUACCAUUUUUCUGUUUAUUUUACUGUUGUCUAAUCAAUAAAGAAUGCAGAGCUCCCAAAAAAUUUGUCUUACAUUAGCUGUCCCAACAGGAUUGUCUCCCUCCCAGCUCUGUUUUAAUUGGCUUUUAGACCCACUGUCUGUCAGAUCCUUGCCAUCUGUCAGUGUCUGCCUGCGCCACCUCCGUGCUUGCUUAACAUCCUGUUGCAUGUCUAGAGUGAUUGGGCUAGAUUUUUCAGGCAUGUCUUUAGAUUCCCUGGUUCUUGUCAAAGCCUCUGUUUUGUUUUACAUUUGUAGUGCAAAUCCCUCUGUCAGACAUCUCCAGCACUAAUGUUUCCAUCCUAGCAUUUGUGUGCACUGCUGUAACUUCCCCACUGCAAACAUUCCAGUUGUGGCAUUACAAAGAAGUAGCUUGUGAACCUGAAGUAUUUAUGAUAAGAAAAAGAAAACAUCUCUGCUCUAGCCUACAGCCCAGUUGAAAGAACUCUUUGAAACGUGAUACAUCUUCAGCACCUCAGUCUGGGAAGAAUCUAUAGUCAGCACUGAAAUCCUGGCAUAAUAAACACAGAAGAUACUCACCACCUCAAGACAAAGGACUAUUGUCAAAAGUCAGCUGCUUCCAUUCAAAUGCUGCCUUAAACUAGAGUGCCUAAAUCUGUUGAUUGCCAACACUACCACUACAGUGUCCCACAAAGGGCUUUAUGUGUCAGCUCAGUGCGACCUCCUUUAACUCUGCAGCACGGCUGCAGCUGCCGAUGUAGCCUCAGUAGGUGGCUAUUGGAGCUCUACUAUGUACAAUGGUGCAUCUUCAAAUUUAUGCAUCAAACUGAAGACAUGUCCAAGUCCAUUUUACUUUGCUCAGUGUUUUUAUGAGAAGUUUUAUGGACCUCCCCCAGCUGUCUUUUUAUUUGGGGUUAUCACAGUCAUGUUUGAUUAUUACAAUGAUAGUCUGUUUCCACGUGAUGCUUUUGUUUGAACCUGAUAAAAUUUAGUGAAACUUUGUAAUUAUCUAUGUGCACUUUUACUUGUAAAAUGGAAUUUCUGUAUGUUUAUACUUGUAAAUAUGAUUGUUGUUAGUGCUCCUGUUGCUCAUGGUGUCCUGCCUCGCAUUUGUGAUUGUUAAUGACUUGUAUCUUAACCAAUUUCUUAGUGGUGUUGUAAUAGGGAGAUGGGAGCGGGUGGGGGGUUGUUUGUACCGCUGAAUCUUCAUUAAUUUGGUUCUUUACUGUUUUGAGGGGAGAAGGAACAUGAAAUGGUUUGUGUAUUAUUGGAUUUUAAGCAAUAUUUUAGAAGCUGUGUGACUGCUUUAAUAACUUUUUCCCAGUAUUAUUUGAAUCAUACUACCAGUUGUACUAAAGCUGAAUGACAAUUGUGUGAAAGUUACUGCCUUCAUAAGAUCAAGUCACCACUGUUACACAGCUGACUUGUAGUGUAUUACCUUUGCAGCUAGUAAACUAUAAAGUUUAGAUAUUGAAUCUCGUUACAGGGUUAUUUAUAUAAUGUGACAUUAUUCAAUGCUGACUACAUGAAGUAGUUUUAAAAUCUAGUGCUAUUUUUAUUUUAAAGGUUAGCAAUGCGGAGGAAAUGUGAUCUGGCUGUGUUUGUCUUCUGUACAAAGCCUGAAGUGCUUAUGGUUUUUUGGCUAACAGCCACAGAGGGCAAAGUUUAAGACUUUCUUGUAAGGACUAACUGUUCUUUUCAAGCUACUGUUUGUUUUUCUAAAAGCAGGAUUUGCUUCCGUAGGAGGCAAGUUCCUUGACGUGGAAUAGUGCAACCUGUAUAUGGGUUAUUAUAAUAGGAAAGACAUUUGUACUUGCACAGUUUAAAUCAUUCUUAAAUUUUGAACAUGUGAAUUGUCCCAAAAAAUCUUUAAUUUUUUGGUAAUUUUUACUCUUUUUGUGCACAUGUUGAUUUCUUAAUGGUAAAUCCUUCAUUUAAAGAUAGUGUUCUCUGUUGAGAAUAUUUUCAUGGAAUAAAACAAUCUUUUCAUGGCCUGUUAA
This is a long non-coding RNA of Sapajus apella (tufted capuchin), 3859 nucleotides long. RefSeq lists it as uncharacterized. The record is from RefSeq and is a predicted model, not a curated record. The transcript is spliced from 2 exons. Lineage: Eukaryota; Metazoa; Chordata; Mammalia; Primates; Cebidae.